This 73-nucleotide transfer RNA is filed under the name Bos taurus (domestic cattle). It matches the Rfam family "tRNA". From Rfam's summary of the family: Transfer RNA (tRNA) molecules are approximately 80 nucleotides in length. Their secondary structure includes four short double-helical elements and three loops (D, anti-codon, and T loops). The record is from Rfam by way of RNAcentral. RNAcentral also lists the same sequence under 5 other names. Lineage: Eukaryota; Metazoa; Chordata; Mammalia; Artiodactyla; Bovidae.
UCCCUGGUAGUCCAGUGGCUAAGACUCUGCAUUCUAAAUGCAGGGAACCCAGGUUCAAUCCCUAGUCAAAGAA